GUACGGAACGAAACGGUCUGGGUUAAUACCUCGGGCUAAUGACGGUACCGUAAGAAUAAGCACCGGCUAACUACGUGCCAGCAGCCGCGGUAAUACGUAGGGUGCAAGCGUUAAUCGGAAUUACUGGGCGUAAAGCGUGCGCAGGCGGUGAUGUAAGACAGUCGUGAAAUCCCCGGGCUCAACCUGGGAAUUGCGAUUGUGACUGCAUCGCUGGAGUGCGGCAGAGGGGGAUGGAAUUCCGCGUGUAGCAGUGAAAUGCGUAGAUAUGCGGAGGAACACCGAUGGCGAAGGCAAUCCCCUGGGCCUGCACUGACGCCCAUGCACGAAAGCGUGGGGAGCAAACAGGAUUAGAUACCCUGGUAGUCCACGCCCUAAACGAUGUCAACUGGUUGUUGGGUCUCUUCUGACUCAGUAACGAAGCUAACGCGUGAAGUUGACCGCCUGGGGAGCACGGCCGCAAGGUUG
This 465-nucleotide ribosomal RNA is filed under the name uncultured Pseudomonadota bacterium. Its description in RNAcentral is "bacterial SSU rRNA". It matches the Rfam family "Bacterial small subunit ribosomal RNA", at positions 438 to 896 of the family's 1533-position model. The record is from RNAcentral. Lineage: Bacteria; Pseudomonadati; Pseudomonadota.